UGGGGAAUAUUGGACAAUGGGCGAAAGCCUGAUCCAGCCAUGCCGCGUGAGUGAUGAAGGCCCUAGGGUUGUAAAGCUCUUUCACCGGUGAAGAUAAUGACGGUAACCGGAGAAGAAGCCCCGGCUAACUUCGUGCCAGCAGCCGCGGUAAUACGAAGGGGGCUAGCGUUGUUCGGAAUUACUGGGCGUAAAGCGCACGUAGGCGGAUUGUUAAGUCGGGGGUGAAAUCCCGGGGCUCCACCCCGGAACUGCCUUCGAUACUGGCAAUCUAGAGUCCGGAAGAGGUGAGUGGAAUUCCGAGUGUAGAGGUGAAAUUCGUAGAUAUUCGGAGGAACACCAGUGGCGAAGGCGGCUCACUGGUCCGGUACUGACGCUGAGGUGCGAAAGCGUGGGGAGCAAACA
This 402-nucleotide ribosomal RNA is filed under the name uncultured bacterium. Its description in RNAcentral is "bacterial SSU rRNA". It matches the Rfam family "Bacterial small subunit ribosomal RNA", at positions 355 to 774 of the family's 1533-position model. The record is from RNAcentral.